Non-coding RNA from Rhynchosporium graminicola, 73 nucleotides. Lineage: Eukaryota; Fungi; Ascomycota; Leotiomycetes; Helotiales; Ploettnerulaceae. The record is from the annotation of a GenBank genome assembly.
AGUCUUAUGGUGUAGUGGUUAUCACGUUUGCUUUACACGCAACAGGUCUCCGGUUCGACCCCGGAUAAGACUA